Molecule: ribosomal RNA, 700 nt
Filed under: uncultured eukaryote
Lineage: Eukaryota
Description: SSU rRNA
Rfam family: Eukaryotic small subunit ribosomal RNA
Source: RNAcentral
GGUUCUAGGACCAAAGUAAUGAUUGAUAGGGAUAGUUGGGGGUGCUUGUAUUGAACGGCCAGAGGCGAAAUUCUUGGAUUCGUUCAAGACAAACUAAUGCGAAAGCAUUCACCAAGGAUGUCUUCCUUAAUCAAGAACGAAAGUUGGGGGAUCGAAGACGAUUAGAUACCGUCGUAGUCUCAACCAUAAACUAUGCCAACUGAGGAUUGGUGAGCAUCGAUUCGAUCUCAUCAGGACUCUACGAGAAAUCAAAGUGUUUGGGUUCUGGGGGGAGUCUGGUCGCAAGGCUGAAACUUAAAGGAAUUGACGGAAGGGCACACCAGGAGUGGAGCCUGCGGCUUAAUUUGACUCAACACUGGAAAACUUACCAGGUCCGGAGACGCGAAGGAUUGACAGAUUGCAGAUCUUUCUUGAUUGCGUCGGUGGUGGUGCAUGGUCGUUCUUAGUUGGUGGAGUGAUUUGUCUGGUUAAUUCCGUUAACGAACGAGACCUCAGCCUGCUAAAUAGUCAGAUGUACGCUUCGGUGUACAGUUGCUGACUUCUUAGAGGGACUGUCGGUUUCUAGCCGAAGGAAGCGUGAGGCAAUAACAGGUCUGUGAUGCCCUUAGAUGUUCUGGGCUGCACGCGCGCUACACUGUUGGAUUCAACGAGUAUCACCCUUGAUCGAAAGGUCUGGGUAAUCUUUGAAAAUACGACGUGA